RNAcentral lists this ribosomal RNA (2423 nucleotides) under Salmonella enterica subsp. enterica serovar Montevideo. RNAcentral's name for it is "partial 23S ribosomal RNA". It matches the Rfam family "Bacterial large subunit ribosomal RNA", at positions 394 to 2802 of the family's 2925-position model. Lineage: Bacteria; Pseudomonadati; Pseudomonadota; Gammaproteobacteria; Enterobacterales; Enterobacteriaceae. The record is from RNAcentral.
GUGCUGUGAGCUCGAUGAGUAGGGCGGGACACGUGGUAUCCUGUCUGAAUAUGGGGGGACCAUCCUCCAAGGCUAAAUACUCCUGACUGACCGAUAGUGAACCAGUACCGUGAGGGAAAGGCGAAAAGAACCCCGGCGAGGGGAGUGAAAAAGAACCUGAAACCGUGUACGUACAAGCAGUGGGAGCACCCUUUGGGGUGUGACUGCGUACCUUUUGUAUAAUGGGUCAGCGACUUAUAUUCUGUAGCAAGGUUAACCGAAUAGGGGAGCCGGAGGGAAACCGAGUCUUAAUUGGGCGUUAAGUUGCAGGGUAUAGACCCGAAACCCGGUGAUCUAGCCAUGGGCAGGUUGAAGGUUGGGUAACACUAACUGGAGGACCGAACCGACUAAUGUUGAAAAAUUAGCGGAUGACCUGUGGCUGGGGGUGAAAGGCCAAUCAAACCGGGAGAUAGCUGGUUCUCCCCGAAAGCUAUUUAGGUAGCGCCUCGUGAAUUCAUCUCCGGGGGUAGAGCACUGUUUCGGCUAGGGGGCCAUCCCGGCUUACCAACCCGAUGCAAACUGCGAAUACCGGAGAAUGUUAUCACGGGAGACACACGGCGGGUGCUAACGUCCGUCGUGAAGAGGGAAACAACCCAGACCGCCAGCUAAGGUCCCAAAGUCAUGGUUAAGUGGGAAACGAUGUGGGAAGGCCCAGACAGCCAGGAUGUUGGCUUAGAAGCAGCCAUCAUUUAAAGAAAGCGUAAUAGCUCACUGGUCGAGUCGGCCUGCGCGGAAGAUGUAACGGGGCUAAACCAUGCACCGAAGCUGCGGCAGCGACGCUGAUGCGUUGUUGGGUAGGGGAGCGUUCUGUAAGCCUGCGAAGGUGGCCUGUGAGGGUUGCUGGAGGUAUCAGAAGUGCGAAUGCUGACAUAAGUAACGAUAAAGCGGGUGAAAAGCCCGCUCGCCGGAAGACCAAGGGUUCCUGUCCAACGUUAAUCGGGGCAGGGUGAGUCGACCCCUAAGGCGAGGCCGAAAGGCGUAGUCGAUGGGAAACGGGUUAAUAUUCCCGUACUUGGUGUUACUGCGAAGGGGGGACGGAGAAGGCUAUGUUGGCCGGGCGACGGUUGUCCCGGUUUAAGCGUGUAGGCUGGUUUUCCAGGCAAAUCCGGAAAAUCAAGGCUGAGGCGUGACGACGAGGCACUACGGUGCUGAAGCAACAAAUGCCCUGCUUCCAGGAAAAGCCUCUAAGCAUCAGGUAACACGAAAUCGUACCCCAAACCGACACAGGUGGUCAGGUAGAGAAUACCAAGGCGCUUGAGAGAACUCGGGUGAAGGAACUAGGCAAAAUGGUGCCGUAACUUCGGGAGAAGGCACGCUGACAUGUAGGUGAAGUGAUUUACUCAUGGAGCUGAAGUCAGUCGAAGAUACCAGCUGGCUGCAACUGUUUAUUAAAAACACAGCACUGUGCAAACACGAAAGUGGACGUAUACGGUGUGACGCCUGCCCGGUGCCGGAAGGUUAAUUGAUGGGGUCAGCGCAAGCGAAGCUCCUGAUCGAAGCCCCGGUAAACGGCGGCCGUAACUAUAACGGUCCUAAGGUAGCGAAAUUCCUUGUCGGGUAAGUUCCGACCUGCACGAAUGGCGUAAUGAUGGCCAGGCUGUCUCCACCCGAGACUCAGUGAAAUUGAACUCGCUGUGAAGAUGCAGUGUACCCGCGGCAAGACGGAAAGACCCCGUGAACCUUUACUAUAGCUUGACACUGAACAUUGAGCCUUGAUGUGUAGGAUAGGUGGGAGGCUUUGAAGUGUGGACGCCAGUCUGCAUGGAGCCGACCUUGAAAUACCACCCUUUAAUGUUUGAUGUUCUAACGUGGACCCGUGAUCCGGGUUGCGGACAGUGUCUGGUGGGUAGUUUGACUGGGGCGGUCUCCUCCUAAAGAGUAACGGAGGAGCACGAAGGUUGGCUAAUCCUGGUCGGACAUCAGGAGGUUAGUGCAAUGGCAUAAGCCAGCUUGACUGCGAGCGUGACGGCGCGAGCAGGUGCGAAAGCAGGUCAUAGUGAUCCGGUGGUUCUGAAUGGAAGGGCCAUCGCUCAACGGAUAAAAGGUACUCCGGGGAUAACAGGCUGAUACCGCCCAAGAGUUCAUAUCGACGGCGGUGUUUGGCACCUCGAUGUCGGCUCAUCACAUCCUGGGGCUGAAGUAGGUCCCAAGGGUAUGGCUGUUCGCCAUUUAAAGUGGUACGCGAGCUGGGUUUAGAACGUCGUGAGACAGUUCGGUCCCUAUCUGCCGUGGGCGCUGGAGAACUGAGGGGGGCUGCUCCUAGUACGAGAGGACCGGAGUGGACGCAUCACUGGUGUUCGGGUUGUCAUGCCAAUGGCACUGCCCGGUAGCUAAAUGCGGAAGAGAUAAGUGCUGAAAGCAUCUAAGCACGAAACUUGCCCCGA